Molecule: ribosomal RNA, 256 nt
Filed under: uncultured bacterium
Lineage: Bacteria
Description: partial 16S ribosomal RNA
Rfam family: Bacterial small subunit ribosomal RNA
Source: RNAcentral
GUCCACACCGUAAACGAUGAUUACUAGAUUUUGGCCUUAUGGUCAGAGUCCAAGCGAAAGUGUUUAGUAAUCCACCUUGGGAGUACGUCCGCAAGGAUGAAACUCAAAGGAAUUGACGGGGGCCCGCACAAGCGGUGGAGCAUGUGGUUUAAUUCGAUGAUACGCGAGGAACCUUACCUGGGCUUGAAAGUUAGUGACCGCUCCUGAAAGGGAGCUUCCCGCAAGGGCACGAAACUAGGUGCUGCAUGGCUGUCGU